RNAcentral lists this ribosomal RNA (253 nucleotides) under uncultured bacterium. Its description in RNAcentral is "partial 16S ribosomal RNA". It matches the Rfam family "Bacterial small subunit ribosomal RNA", at positions 524 to 776 of the family's 1533-position model. The record is from RNAcentral.
UACGAAGGGGGCUAGCGUUGCUCGGAAUCACUGGGCGUAAAGCGCACGUAGGCGGAUCUUUAAGUCAGGGGUGAAAUCCUGGAGCUCAACUCCAGAACUGCCUUUGAUACUGAAGGUCUUGAGUCCGGGAGAGGUGAGUGGAACUGCGAGUGUAGAGGUGAAAUUCGUAGAUAUUCGCAAGAACACCAGUGGCGAAGGCGGCUCACUGGCCCGGUACUGACGCUGAGGUGCGAAAGCGUGGGGAGCAAACAGG